This is a long non-coding RNA of Serinus canaria (Common canary), 653 nucleotides long. RefSeq lists it as uncharacterized. The record is from RefSeq and is a predicted model, not a curated record. The transcript has 3 exons. NCBI's taxonomy places the organism in Eukaryota, Metazoa, Chordata, Aves, Passeriformes, Fringillidae.
UAUUAAUUCUAUCCAUACAUCUAUAUAUUGCUUUGUAAUAAUCUUAAAAUAGAUUACAUACCUUUCCCCCCACCUCCAUAGAAUGAUUGGGUUUUAUUUGGUGCAUUAAGCGAGCCUGCUCUGGGGAUGAAUUAGAGUACAUGCUGAAGGAGAGAGAGUGUUGUCUGUUGAACUCUUACCCUCCUGUGUUCCUGUGAGUGUAAGAAGGGAAGACAUAAUCUCAUUGUUAAGGCGGCUGAAUGUUGCUUUGGAGAAGUUGAUCCUCUGCCAAGGAGUGUGAUGCUGGGCAUCCUGCCCCACAGCCAUGUAAAUUUUCUUACGUACAAAUGUUCAUUGCCAUCUUUUACAUUCCUCUGCUGACAGUGAAGAGGUCAUGCUAAAUCAAACUGAUGGAGAAACUGGACAUCAUCUUUACCCUGAAUGCCCAGAUUAAUUCUGCCAGAACAGAGUUUCAUGACUGGAAGAUUGAGGCUGGAAGUGGUCUCUGAUAGUCAUCUUGUCUAAACUACCUGUUCAGGAAGGGUCACCUAGAGCAGAUUGCCCAGGAUUAUGUCCAGAUGGCUUUUAAUCUCCUUUUGCCCCGGAGAUAGAUACACAUAACUUGGCACUGAUCUGCUAGCAAGAAAACUUUAGCACAUCAAUAUUGGAAGCUU